UGUCAGGUCUUUAAGGAAGUGUUUUAUUGAUAAAAUCAAGUGAUAUCUGUAAUAACGGCUUCUCCAGAAGCGCAGUGAUGUCUUUCUUUAGUCUCUAGACCCUUCAGAAAGGGUAGUCCCUAAAGGUAGGGUAUCCAGUCAUACGUCCUCACAUUGUAGUUAAGUAGGUAUGUGUGUGUGUGUGUGUGUGUGUGUGUGUGUGUGUGUGUGUGUGUGUGUGUGUGUGUGUGUGUGUGUGCGUAUGCCUGGUUCUGUCGUGAAACUCUACAUGGCGCAGGCUAAUGGUGCAAACGAGCAUUCGCUAUAGCAGUUGCAGCACACUUUCAGAGUUCCUCUGAAACCCUCCACCUGUAAAGCUCCACCUUUAUAGAUCUGCUAUGGGUAAUUUUAUAUAUGCAUUUGUGCAGCGGCAGUAUGUCUUGCAUACACACAGCAGCGUAUCAGCGUAUGUAUUGGCAGUAGCAAGUUUCUACUAGCAGCAGCAGCAUUAAUCUACAACUACAAGGACAACAGCAGACCAAAUACCUUGUCAUACCCAUUACCCUGUUAAAAUGUUCUGAGAGUAUAUAUAUAUAUAUAUAUAUAUAUAUAUACACACUGUAUAUAUAUUCUGAGAAAACUAUGGAAAUCAAGGGAGAAAAUUACAUCUCUUAUUAUCUUGAGUUUGGCAAGGACAUUCAAGUACAAAUCAUAUUGGUCGUUUGUUAAUGAAGUGUCAUAGUCAGAAGUGUUUUUGAUUCCAUUAGUCAAUGGGAUAUUAUAUUGAGCGAGCAAUCAUGUGAAUUGUUCAGAAGAGGCCAUCCGAGGCCAGUUCAGUGAAAUGUUAAUAAACUACAGCUAAAAGCUCUGAGUCACUGAAAGCAACUUUUCAUCUGUCUAUAUAAAAAUUCAUCAAUAUCUGGCAACUUUUUUGCAUGUAUUCCCAGUUCUUUUUUUUUAUUCCACAGUUUUGAUCAGUGAAAAUGAUGAAGAGUAUGUCAAUAUCCUGCACUGGGGGGCCACAUUUCAUUGGUCUAAUUCUCAGGAGCUCGAUCUACAGAAAAGAAAAGCAAAUGUGUACAGAAUCAUAACUCAAAUAUUGAGGAAUUGAUUGGAUCGUAAAAAUGGGCGUUACCUGAAUGGAGCCACAUGAUUGGAGGGGAGAGGUUGAAUGAAACAAUAUUUUAAUAAGACCAGGAAUGUGUAAGGAGAGUACCUGGAAUGCAACCCUCAAACCGACGGCAUCAUCAGCAUCGAUGGCAAAGAACUGAAGAAGGCCCUGGACUACAAUUAUCUCAGAUCCAUCAUCACCAGUUAUGGCAGCAUCCUCUCUGAUGCUAAAGCAUGGGUUAAGGAUGAAGUGGAGCCAGCUCAUUGGGGUUUCUCUGGGACCGCUGGAUGCCCGACCGCCUCAAGGCCAAGAUCUAUAAGACCAUUGUUCGCCCUGUGGCCCUUUACAACACUGAGUGAUGGCCAGCGUCGGUAAAACAUGAACAAGCCCCGCAUAUCAUGGAGAUGUGGAUGGUCUGGUGGGAUAACGCCAUGGGACCAUGUAACAAACAAAGACGCCAGGAAACAGUUGGGCAUUGUCCCAAUUACCCCUUAAAUGCAUGACUGUUUCCCCAAUCAUUCUUACAUAUUCGGGUCUUUUUUGACCUUU
This is a long non-coding RNA of Megalobrama amblycephala (Wuchang bream), 1639 nucleotides long. RefSeq lists it as uncharacterized. The record is from RefSeq and is a predicted model, not a curated record. NCBI's taxonomy places the organism in Eukaryota, Metazoa, Chordata, Actinopteri, Cypriniformes, Xenocyprididae. The transcript is spliced from 3 exons.